Molecule: ribosomal RNA, 225 nt
Filed under: uncultured Chloroflexota bacterium
Lineage: Bacteria; Bacillati; Chloroflexota
Description: uncultured Chloroflexi bacterium partial 16S ribosomal RNA
Rfam family: Bacterial small subunit ribosomal RNA
Source: RNAcentral
CCCAACAACGCCGCGUGAGGGAUGAAGGCCUUCGGGUUGUAAACCUCUUUUCUUGGGGAAGAAUAAUGACGGUACCCGUGGAAUAAGCUUCGGCCAACUACGUGCCAGCAGCCGCGGUAAUACGUAGGAAGCGAACGUUAUUCGGAUUUAUUGGGCGUAAAGGGAGCGUAGGCGGUUUCUCAAGUCGGAUGUGAAAUCUUCUGACUCAAUCAGGAGGGGCGAUUU